CAAUAGCGUAUAUUAAAGUUGUUGCAGUUAAAAAGCUCGUAGUUGGAUUUCUGGUGGGAGCGAUCGGUCUGGCGCUUAGCGCGAGUACUUGCAUCGUCUCCGGCCAUCCUUGGGGAGAGUCUGUCUGGCAUUAGGUUGUCGGGCAGAGGAUCCUCAUCGUUUACUGUGAAAAAAUUAGAGUGUUCAAAGCAGGCUUAUGCCGUUGAAUAUAUUAGCAUGGAAUAAUAAGAUAGGACUUUGGUACUAUUUUGUUGGUUUGCACACCAAAGUAAUGAUUAAUAGGGACAGUUGGGGGUAUUCGUAUUCCGUUGUCAGAGGUGAAAUUCUUGGAUUUACGGAAGACGAACUACUGCGAAAGCAUUUACCAAGGAUGUUUUCAUUA
RNAcentral lists this ribosomal RNA (382 nucleotides) under uncultured eukaryote. RNAcentral's name for it is "partial 18S ribosomal RNA". It matches the Rfam family "Eukaryotic small subunit ribosomal RNA", at positions 592 to 975 of the family's 1831-position model. The record is from RNAcentral.